AGGAUGAACGCUGGCGGUCUGCUUAACACAUGCAAGUCGAACGGGCGUAGCAAUACGUUAGUGGCGGACGGGUGAGUAACGCGUGAGAAUCUACCUUCAGGACGGAGACAACAGUUGGAAACGACUGCUAACCCCCGAUGUACCGAAAGGGCAAAUAUUUAUAGCCUGAAGAAGAGCUCGCGUCCGAUUAGCUAGUUGGAGAGGUAAAAGCUCACCAAGGCGACGAUCGGUAGCUGGUCUGAGAGGACGAUCAGCCACACUGGGACUGAGACACGGCCCAGACUCCUACGGGAGGCAGCAGUGGGGAAUAUUGCACAAUGGGCGAAAGCCUGAUGCAGCAACGCCGCGUGCGGGAUGACGGCCUUCGGGUUGUAACCGCUUUCAGUAGGACGAGCUAGCGUGACGGUACCUACAGAAGAGCACCGGCCAACUACGUGCCAGCACGCCGC
Molecule: ribosomal RNA, 449 nt
Filed under: uncultured bacterium
Lineage: Bacteria
Description: SSU rRNA
Rfam family: Bacterial small subunit ribosomal RNA
Source: RNAcentral